AUUUAUCAGAGUUAUCUCUAUAGAUCCGCAUUCUUCAGAUGAAAAUAUAUAGCUAGAUUUUCAUCAAGAAGUUCUUGACAAUAAAUAUUAUCAUACUGAUUAAGUUUCUCAAAUAUCAAAUAUUGUUUACGUACAAUACGUAAAGCACAUUCUGUGCUCCCACUAUUUCUCUUGUACACUUUUAACUCGUCCAUACUUUUGAUGCAUCAAAUACUUUCC
This 219-nucleotide long non-coding RNA is filed under the name Ananas comosus (pineapple). RNAcentral describes it as "long non-coding RNA (ACOM_LNC012243)". Lineage: Eukaryota; Viridiplantae; Streptophyta; Magnoliopsida; Poales; Bromeliaceae. The record is from RNAcentral.